This is a non-coding RNA of Myotis brandtii (Brandt's bat), 73 nucleotides long. NCBI's taxonomy places the organism in Eukaryota, Metazoa, Chordata, Mammalia, Chiroptera, Vespertilionidae. The record is from Rfam.
GCCCGUGUUGCUCAAUGGUUACAGUGUCUGCCUGCAGCCAGUGGGUCUCAGGUUCAAGUCCUGGUCAAGGGCA